UACGUAGGGUGCGAGCGUUAAUCGGAAUUACUGGGCGUAAAGCGUGCGCAGGCGGCUUUGCAAGACAGAUGUGAAAUCCCCGGGCUCAACCUGGGAACUGCAUUUGUGACUGCAAAGCUGGAGUGCGGCAGAGGGGGAUGGAAUUCCGCGUGUAGCAGUGAAAUGCGUAGAUAUGCGGAGGAACACCGAUGGCGAAGGCAAUCCCCUGGGCCUGCACUGACGCUCAUGCACGAAAGCGUGGGGAGCAAACAGG
This 253-nucleotide ribosomal RNA is filed under the name uncultured bacterium. RNAcentral's name for it is "partial 16S ribosomal RNA". It matches the Rfam family "Bacterial small subunit ribosomal RNA", at positions 524 to 776 of the family's 1533-position model. The record is from RNAcentral.